AUGGAUAACACAAGCAUGGGCAUGGGCAUGGAGAACAAGAGCGUGGCCAUCAUCGGCGCUGGCGUGAGUGGGCUGGCGGCGUGCAAGCACCUGCUGGAGCGCGGGUGCCGGCCGGUGGUAUUCGAGGCGGACACCGUCGUUGGCGGCGUGUGGGCGCACACCCCGGACUGCACCAGGCUCCAGACCGAGCGGACCAUGUACCAGUACACGGACUUCCCGUGGCCGGAUUCCGUCACGGAGGAGUUCCCGAACAACCGCCAGGUCGCCGCCUACCUCAAUGCCUACGCGCGCCGCUUCGGGGUGCUCGAAUGCAUCCGAUUCGAGCACCGCGUUGCCGGGAUGGAGUACGUCGGUGUCGCCGAGGAGGAGGUGGCGGCGUGGGACGAGUGGGCUGGCUGCGCUGACGCAUUUGGCUCUGGCAACGGCAAGUGGCGCCUCACGGUGGCCGACGCCCAGGGUCAGGUGCAGGUACACAAGGCAGACUUUGUGAUUCUUUGUAUUGGAAGGUUCAGCAAUGUUCCCAACAUACCUAAAUUGCCUCCUGGAAAAGGCCCGGAAUCAUUUGAUGGAAAAGUGAUCCACUCCAUGGACUAUUCCAAAAUGGGUAGUCAGAAAGCUAAGGAGAUGGUCAAGGGCAAGCAUGUGACUGUUAUUGGCUAUGGACAUUCGGCCCUUGACAUCGCUAAUGAAUGUGCAAGCUUGAACGUUUGCGGCAUAAAAAAUGAAACCUCACUAAUAUAA
RNAcentral lists this ribosomal RNA (741 nucleotides) under Triticum aestivum (bread wheat). RNAcentral's name for it is "partial small subunit ribosomal RNA". The record is from RNAcentral. Lineage: Eukaryota; Viridiplantae; Streptophyta; Magnoliopsida; Poales; Poaceae.